AUACGUAGGGGGCGAGCGUUGUCCGGAAUGAUUGGGCGUAAAGGGCGCGUAGGCGGCCCGGUAAGUCUGGAGUGAAAGUCCUGUUUUUAAGAUGGGAAUUGCUUUGGAUACUGUCGGGCUUGAGUGCAGGAGAGGUAAGUGGAAUUCCCAGUGUAGCGGUGAAAUGCGUAGAGAUUGGGAGGAACACCAGUGGCGAAGGCGACUUACUGGACUGUAACUGACGCUGAGGCGCGAAAGUGUGGGGAGCAAACAGGAUUAGAUACCCUGGUAGUCCACACUGUAAACGAUGAAUGCUAGGUGUAGGGGGUAUCGACCCCUUCUGUGCCGCAGUCAACACAAUAAGCAUUCCACCUGGGGAGUACGUUCGCAAGAAUGAAACUUAAAGGAAUUGACGGGG
RNAcentral lists this ribosomal RNA (397 nucleotides) under uncultured bacterium. Its description in RNAcentral is "partial 16S ribosomal RNA". It matches the Rfam family "Bacterial small subunit ribosomal RNA", at positions 523 to 918 of the family's 1533-position model. The record is from RNAcentral.